AAUGAGACUGCCGGUGACAAACCGGAGGAAGGUGGGGAUGACGUCAAGUCCUCAUGGCCCUUAUAGGUGGGGCUACACACGUCAUACAAUGGCUGGUACAAAGGGUUGCCAACCGCAGGGGGAGCCAAUCCCAUAAAGCCAGUCGUAGUCCGGAUCGCAGUCUGCAACUCGACUGCGUGAAGUCGGAAUCGCUAGUAAUCGUGGAUCAGCAUGUCACGGUGAAUACGUUCCCGGGUCUU
Molecule: ribosomal RNA, 239 nt
Filed under: uncultured Variovorax sp.
Lineage: Bacteria; Pseudomonadati; Pseudomonadota; Betaproteobacteria; Burkholderiales; Comamonadaceae
Description: partial 16S ribosomal RNA
Rfam family: Bacterial small subunit ribosomal RNA
Source: RNAcentral